CUCUGCUGUAGGCCCGGCAAGGCCCCCAGUGAUUACGCUAACUGACUGCGAAAAUGCACAGAGGAGCCCGGCCUCAGCCUCUUCAAUCUAAUCCAAUCUUAAGGAAUGGCAGCUCUGAGUAGCACCGACUGGAUAAUUAUUGGCGCUGACAAGGUGAGGGCGUUUGCAGGCAAAUGAGCGGGGAAGCAACCCUCAGUCCCCAGACCACCCAGGGCCCGGGCCGCGCUGCUGCUCCGUGUCGGGCUCGGAACUGGGAGGCUGUUUCAUCUGGGGUCUGAUACUCCCUCCCUGCCUCUCCCACCCAGCCUACCGCACUUCUGCCUCUCCCACCCGGCCUCGAGGGAGGGCUUGCAGGAGGAGGGUGAGGAAGUUACUCCCCUACGUCCUGCCCGGGGUGGGCUACAGAGCACAGGCCCUGCAGGGAGUCUCUCCAUGUUAUGAUGGGACGCAUGAAGCCUGUCCAGUGCCCAAGACCCUCCCUCGAUGGUGCAGGCCUGGGGACUCUCUGUGGGAGCUCAGCCUGGUGGUGGAGACUCAGGCUUUUUGCAAAGGCAAUGGGAUCUAAAAACAGGGACUAUGCAGACUGUGCACGUUCGUCCUGAAAUGUUCCCUUCAGCCAGAGGAACUCACCAAGCUCUGGAGUUUUAGAGGGGAUUUUGGAGCUGUCUGACCAGGGCUGAAUGGGGGCCGCACUGCUCUGGCCAUACCUGGCUUUGCUGCCCCCAUCAUGCCGUCUGUAGAUAGGGACAAUAAUUUUUAGAGACAUCAGACUCAGGGCUGGCAAGAGAGAGGAGAGGGACAAAGUGGAGGAGCAGGGACAGACUCUAAGGCAGGGCACAUAGAAGGAAACGUGGGAGGCAGAGGACUGGGAGUGGCAGCAGCAGAUGCCACCAGAUGCUGCCCUGCCUCAGGCCUUCCCUGCCCCGGUAUAAAAGAUUUGGGGCCAAAAUGAAGCUGUUAAAAACCACAUCUGUAAAAAUGGUGUAAUGAUUAUGGGUGGGUAAAAAUCUGGCAAGUCUGUGUGUAGGUGCAUGUGUAUAUUGUGUAUGUGUGCACAUAUGCAUAUGUGUGCAUGCAUGUAAGCAUAUAUGUACACAUCUGUGUGUACAUACAUGAGCGUGCACUUGUAUAUGUAGGAUUGUGUGGGCUCGUCUUCAUCUAUUGUGUGUACGUGUGCUUAUAUGUUGUAUUGUAUGUAUAUGUGUGUACCUGCUUGUGUGCAUUUAAUUAUUUUUCAGGUUUCACUCUUACAACCAUGGAAGAUUCUAUGCUCAGCUUCCGGCGAGACUAACAGUGACAGAGGAAUCACAAAUACAGCUCAGAAUGGUUUGUGCCGUGUUGUUUUCAUUCCUACCUUAUUUCUGUUGCACUGGGGGGCAUUCACUGAGGGUCUGCAGCGUCUCAUUCAGGCCUCCUAACUGCCUACCGGCCCUGGAGUGUCUGCAGGCAUCUCCAGCUGAACCUCAGAUUCCUCCAGCCUCUUCCCCUGACACAGGCUUCCUUGCCUUCUCACCCUGCCCCUGGCCACGGCUCAGGCCACACGGCUCUGGGUGCUGUCCUUAGAGUGCUUGCAGCUCUCCAUCCCACACAUGUCCCAGAUCUGGCCCUGACAUUCUAUCCUGCUGCCAUGAACCUAGCUCAAGUCACUGCCAUCUUCCUCCAGCUCCACCAUCACUGAGAGUCACUAACAGCCUUUCAGUGGGUCUCUGCUUAGCCUCCUCCCGGUUGCCCCACUCUCCACA
This 1742-nucleotide long non-coding RNA is filed under the name Homo sapiens (human). RNAcentral describes it as "HSALNT0169972". Lineage: Eukaryota; Metazoa; Chordata; Mammalia; Primates; Hominidae. The record is from RNAcentral.